RNAcentral lists this ribosomal RNA (253 nucleotides) under uncultured prokaryote. RNAcentral's name for it is "partial 16S ribosomal RNA". It matches the Rfam family "Bacterial small subunit ribosomal RNA", at positions 524 to 776 of the family's 1533-position model. The record is from RNAcentral.
UACGGGGGGGGCAAGCGUUGUUCGGAAUUACUGGGCGUAAAGGGCUUGUAGGUGGCCAACUAAGUCAGACGUGAAAUCCCUCGGCUUAACCGGGGAACUGCGUCUGAUACUGGAUGGCUUGAGUUUGGGAGAGGGAUGCGGAAUUCCAGGUGUAGCGGUGAAAUGCGUAGAUAUCUGGAGGAACACCGGUGGCGAAGGCGGCCCUCUGGACGGUGACUGACGCUGAGACGCGAAAGCGUGGGGAGCAAACAGG